This 415-nucleotide ribosomal RNA is filed under the name uncultured bacterium. RNAcentral's name for it is "bacterial SSU rRNA". It matches the Rfam family "Bacterial small subunit ribosomal RNA", at positions 355 to 787 of the family's 1533-position model. The record is from RNAcentral.
UGGGGAAUAUUGCACAAUGGGGGAAACCCUGAUGCAGCGACGCCGCGUGAGUGAGGAAGUAUUUCGGUAUGUAAAGCUCUAUCAGCAGGGAAGAAAAUGACGGUACCUGACUAAGAAGCCCCGGCUAACUACGUGCCAGCAGCCGCGGUAAUACGUAGGGGGCAAGCGUUAUCCGGAUUUACUGGGUGUAAAGGGAGCGUAGACGGAGCAGCAAGUCUGAUGUGAAAAUCCGGGGCCCAACCCCGGAAGUGCAUUGGAAACUGUUGAUCUAGAGUGUCGGAGAGGCAAGUGGAAUUCCUGGUGUAGCGGUGAAAUGCGUAGAUAUCAGGAGGAACACCAGUGGCGAAGGCGGCUUGCUGGACGAUGACUGACGUUGAGGCUCGAAAGCGUGGGGAGCAAACAGGAUUAGAUACCC